Molecule: ribosomal RNA, 368 nt
Filed under: Gammarus sp. 3 KH-2020
Lineage: Eukaryota; Metazoa; Arthropoda; Malacostraca; Amphipoda; Gammaridae
Description: partial 16S ribosomal RNA
Rfam family: Bacterial large subunit ribosomal RNA (bases 93-368)
Source: RNAcentral
GAGGACUAGAAUGAAAGGUCAAACAAAUUAAUCAGGUUUGAUGGGCUUAGUAGAAAAUUAAAGUUAAGGUAAGAAUUCUUUAAUUAUUUAGGGGACGAUAAGACCCUAGAAGCUUUAAGAAAUAAAAAUUAUUAUAUAAAAAUAUACUUUUUUUACUGGGGCGGUAAUAGUAUUUGAUCUACUAUUAUUUUGGUUGAUCCUUAAUAUAAAGAUACUACGGCUAAGUUACUCUAGGGGUAACAGUGUAAUAUUUUUGGAUAGGUCAUAUUGAUAAAAAUGUUUGCAACCUCGAUGUUGAAUUAAGAUAUCUAUAUAAAGAAGCAGGUAUAAUAGAAGGUUUGUUCAACCUUUAUAUUCUUACAUGAUCU